Molecule: transfer RNA, 71 nt
Filed under: Candidatus Iainarchaeum sp.
Lineage: Archaea; Nanobdellati; Candidatus Iainarchaeota; Candidatus Iainarchaeia; Candidatus Iainarchaeales; Candidatus Iainarchaeaceae
Description: tRNA-Gly
Rfam family: tRNA
About the family: Transfer RNA (tRNA) molecules are approximately 80 nucleotides in length. Their secondary structure includes four short double-helical elements and three loops (D, anti-codon, and T loops).
Source: RNAcentral
GCAGCGAUAGUCUAGUGGUAUGAUAGAACCUUCCCAAGGUUCUGGUCCGGGUUCGAUUCCCGGUCGCUGCA